Molecule: non-coding RNA, 28 nt
Filed under: Rattus norvegicus (Norway rat)
Lineage: Eukaryota; Metazoa; Chordata; Mammalia; Rodentia; Muridae
Source: RNAcentral
UGUAAAAAAAAGAAAAAAAGUUGUCUGC